CCGCGACUAACUUCUAGACUGGUUCCGAAAUUAACAGAAAAAUACGAUCAGUUUACUUUGACGGCUUACGACCUUGAUGUUUCUUUUUUAUUUAAUGUUUUGGAUAUUAUAAUACAUUUAGAUUUGAUGGUUAAUCCACUACUUUUAAGAAUUAUCUACCAGGUGCGUCGUAACUUUGUGUCAGCAUUGUUCCCUACUACUGUUGGCGCAUUGAUCUACUUGGACUACACACACACUAAAAAGUACAAGGAACAGCUAAAACUUGAAAGAACCUAAGUUACAUAAUCAGAAUGGGCUUCAGCAUGUUUCAGAAACGUUUCUUGCAGUACUAUGCCUAUCUCACCGUUCCCCUUGUUAUAGUGUGGGUUGGCAGAAAAAUCCAAGCACACAAUGACGAACAGUAUACAUCAUUUAGAAACAAAAGUAAAAUGUUUGGUGGUCGUGAACUAGCACCAGGAGAAAAAGCCUGGUAAAUAGCAACAUUAAAAUGUGUGGGUUAAUAAGACUGUUAGACAAGUGUUUGUCAUUUGUAGUUUAAAUUGAAACAAAACAAUGUUGGAUUAAAAUAUCUGAUAUUUUACCAUUUCUGUAUAAAAUGUUGCACCGUAAAAGUGUGUGCAAUUAAACCAAUAUUUAAUACC
Molecule: long non-coding RNA, 641 nt
Organism: Gigantopelta aegis
Lineage: Eukaryota; Metazoa; Mollusca; Gastropoda; Neomphalida; Peltospiridae
Exons: 3
Source: RefSeq, a predicted model, not a curated record